This 253-nucleotide ribosomal RNA is filed under the name uncultured bacterium. Its description in RNAcentral is "partial 16S ribosomal RNA". It matches the Rfam family "Bacterial small subunit ribosomal RNA", at positions 524 to 776 of the family's 1533-position model. The record is from RNAcentral.
AACGUAGGUGACGAGCGUUAUCCGGAUUUACUGGGCGUAAAGCGUGUGCAGACGGGUGCACAAGUGCUGUAUGAAAUCGCUUGGCUUAACUGAGCGAGGUUAUGGCAGACUGUGGAUCUAGAGUGCGAGAGAGGGAUGUGGAAUUCCGGGUGUAGUGGUGAAAUGCGUAGAGAUCCGGAGGAACCCCAGAGGCGAAGGCGGCGUCCUGGCUCGCAACUGACGUUCAGACACGACAGCAUGGGGAGCGAACGGG